This 74-nucleotide transfer RNA is filed under the name Ruminococcus sp. RNAcentral's name for it is "tRNA-Arg". It matches the Rfam family "tRNA". Rfam says of the family: Transfer RNA (tRNA) molecules are approximately 80 nucleotides in length. RNAcentral also lists the same sequence under 4 other names. Lineage: Bacteria; Bacillati; Bacillota; Clostridia; Eubacteriales; Oscillospiraceae. The record is from RNAcentral.
GUGCCUGUAGCUCAGCUGGAUAGAGUGACUGGCUACGAACCAGUAGGUCGGGGGUUCGAGUCCCUCCAGGCACG